UGCAUGUGAUGUCUAUUCUCACGAUGGUCUUCUGAGCCCAUGUGGCCUUGAGGACAGUGCCUCAUGGCUUUACUGAUGCAGUUUU
This is a small nucleolar RNA of Pygocentrus nattereri (red-bellied piranha), 85 nucleotides long. Ensembl annotates it as Small nucleolar RNA SNORD35. Lineage: Eukaryota; Metazoa; Chordata; Actinopteri; Characiformes; Serrasalmidae. The record is from Ensembl.